Molecule: ribosomal RNA, 422 nt
Filed under: uncultured bacterium
Lineage: Bacteria
Description: bacterial SSU rRNA
Rfam family: Bacterial small subunit ribosomal RNA
Source: RNAcentral
GGAAUAUUGGACAAUGGGGGCAACCCUGAUCCAGCAAUGCCGCGUGUGUGAAGAAGGCCUGCGGGUUGUAAAGCACUUUCAGAGGGGAAGAAAAAAUCGGAUCUAACACAUCCGAGCUUGACGUUACCCUUAGAAGAAGCACCGGCUAACUCCGUGCCAGCAGCCGCGGUAAUACGGGGGGAGCAAGCGUUGUUCGGAUUUACUGGGCGUAAAGGGCGCGUAGGCGGCCACCGCAAGUCGACUGUGAAAUCUCCGGGCUUAACCCGGAAAGGUCAGCCGAUACUGCGGGGCUAGAGUGCAGAAGGGGCAACUGGAAUUCUCGGUGUAGCGGUGAAAUGCGUAGAUAUCGAGAGGAACACCUGCGGCGAAGGCGGGUUGCUGGGCUGACACUGACGCUGAGGCGCGAAAGCUAGGGGAGCGAA